CCUACGGGGGGCAGCAGUGAGGAAUAUUGGUCAAUGGACGAGAGUCUGAACCAGCCAAGUAGCGUGAAGGAUGACUGCCCUAUGGGUUGUAAACUUCUUUUAUAUGGGAAUAAAAUGUUCCACGUGUGGGAUUUUGUAUGUACAAUAUGAAUAAGGAUCGGCUAACUCCGUGCCAGCAGCCGCGGUAAUACGGAGGAUCCGAGCGUUAUCCGGAUUUAUUGGGUUUAAAGGGAGCGUAGGAGGAUUGGUAAGUCAGUUGUGAAAGUUUGGGGCUCAACCGUAAAAUUGCAGUUGAAACUGGCAGUCUUGAGUACAGUAGAGGUGGGCGGAAUUCGUGGUGUAGCGGUGAAAUGCUUAGAUAUCACGAAGAACUCCGAUUGCGAAGGCAGCUCACUGGACUGCAACUGACACUGAGGCUCGAAAGUGUGGGUAGCAAACAGGAUUAGAUACCCGAGUAGUC
RNAcentral lists this ribosomal RNA (460 nucleotides) under uncultured bacterium. RNAcentral describes it as "partial 16S ribosomal RNA". It matches the Rfam family "Bacterial small subunit ribosomal RNA", at positions 338 to 795 of the family's 1533-position model. The record is from RNAcentral.